GAUGAACGCUGGCGGCGUGCCUAAUACAUGCAAGUCGAGCGAACAGAUGAGGAGCUUGCUCCUCUGACGUUAGCGGCGGACGGGUGAGUAACACGUGGAUAACCUACCUAUAAGACUGGGAUAACUUCGGGAAACCGGAGCUAAUACCGGAUAAUAUAUUGAACCGCAUGGUUCAAUAGUGAAAGACGGUUUUGCUGUCACUUAUAGAUGGAUCCGCGCCGCAUUAGCUAGUUGGUAAGGUAACGGCUUACCAAGGCAACGAUGCGUAGCCGACCUGAGAGGGUGAUCGGCCACACUGGAACUGAGACACGGUCCAGACUCCUACGGGAGGCAGCAGUAGGGAAUCUUCCGCAAUGGGCGAAAGCCUGACGGAGCAACGCCGCGUGAGUGAUGAAGGUCUUCGGAUCGUAAAACUCUGUUAUUAGGGAAGAACAAAUGUGUAAGUAACUAUGCACAUCUUGACGGUACCUAAUCAGAAAGCCACGGCCAACUACGUG
This 497-nucleotide ribosomal RNA is filed under the name uncultured bacterium. RNAcentral's name for it is "partial 16S ribosomal RNA". It matches the Rfam family "Bacterial small subunit ribosomal RNA", at positions 28 to 507 of the family's 1533-position model. The record is from RNAcentral.